RNAcentral lists this transfer RNA (70 nucleotides) under Suthora fulvifrons. Its description in RNAcentral is "tRNA-Pro". It matches the Rfam family "tRNA". Rfam says of the family: Transfer RNA (tRNA) molecules are approximately 80 nucleotides in length. Lineage: Eukaryota; Metazoa; Chordata; Aves; Passeriformes; Sylviidae. The record is from RNAcentral.
CAGAGAGUAGUUUAGUUGAAAAUGCCAGCUUUGGGAGUUGGUGAUGGGGGUUUAAUUCCCUUCUCUCUGA